This 1285-nucleotide long non-coding RNA is filed under the name Sus scrofa (pig). RNAcentral's name for it is "lncRNA (ENSSSCG00040028247.1)". The record is from RNAcentral. Lineage: Eukaryota; Metazoa; Chordata; Mammalia; Artiodactyla; Suidae.
CAACUCUUUUAUAUAUCUAAUUAAUUCUAGGUAUGCUGGAGUUCCCGUCGUGGCGCAGUGGUUAACGAAUCCGACUAGGAACCAUGAGGUUGCGGGUUCGGUCCCUGCCCUUGCUCAGUGGGUUAACGAUCCGGCGUUGCCGUGAGCUGUGGUGUAGGUUGCAGACGUGGCUCGGAUCCCACGUUGCUGUGGCUCUGGCAUAGGCUGGCAGCUACAGCUCCGAUUAGACCCCUAGCCUAGGAAAACUCCAUACGCCGCGGGAGCAGCCCGAGAAAUAGCAAAAAGACAAAAAAUAAUAAUAAUAAUAAUAAUAAUAAUAAUUCUAGGUAUGCUAAACGUGUAUGUUUCUGUUUAAAAAUGAUUUUGUCCCCCUCUUUGUAGAUCUUCUAAUUGGAAGAAAGAAAAUCUUUUGAAGUAGAAGUUCAGUGAAGGGCCUCAUUGUUUCAUAACCCUAGGGGCAAAGCAUUGUCUCUCUUCACUCCAAGCCCCCCAAGAAGCACAGAGUCUGCACUCAGAUGUUUUCUCUUGGUUUGUCAGUCAUGCUGUUCAUGCUGUUCUCAUCCUUUCAAACAUGGUAAAUGUGGUAAAGACAUUUAUGAACAAAGGGAUGAAGUGUUUCUGAAGGACCACCCGAGAGAGUCAGGGGACAUAUCUUCAUGUUUAAGGUAGGUCUUACAGAGUGAGUCUAAAUUUGUCAGGUGUAAAGGUGGAAGAAGGGCAUUCUAGAAAAAAAUGAAGUGGAAUAUUAUGUGCAAAGCUCAGCAUAGAAAGGUUAUGGUGUGUUUGGAAAACAGCAAAAAGCAGAUAAGGCUAAAAUAAUUCUAGCUGUCAGCAUGGAGGAUAGAAAGAGUAAAGAUGGAUUGGUGACAAUAGAGACAGGUGGGAGGCUAUCUCAGCAAUUAGCCAACCGCUACUGAGGGCUCAGACCAAGAAGGUUAGUGGGAAUGAAGACAAUAAGUUGGAUUCAAAAAAUAUUUCAGAGGUAGCAUAAGCAGCAUUUGAUGAUGGAAUAAUUGUUUCAGGGAAAUUAUGCAGUGAAUUUGGGGGACAAUGACCCAUUAAACGAGACAGCAAAUACAAGUGGUAAAGCAGGUUUGGGAUGCUCAGAUAAAAGAGUGGAAACACACCUAACGCAAAUGCUGGGGGAAGCAUGUCCAUACCCAUGCCUAUGGGGAAAUGGAAGUAAAGAGGAUGAAACAACUUUCUAGCACUUUAUUCUUCCUGUUUUCAAAAAUAACUUGAGACAACUGUCAAUAUUUGUGGUGGUGCACACAGUUGCUUAUAU